RNAcentral lists this small nucleolar RNA (250 nucleotides) under Microdochium bolleyi. Its description in RNAcentral is "Small nucleolar RNA snR191". It matches the Rfam family "Small nucleolar RNA snR191". Lineage: Eukaryota; Fungi; Ascomycota; Sordariomycetes; Xylariales; Microdochiaceae. The record is from Rfam by way of RNAcentral.
UCCCAAUAUUCUUUGUCAGGACACUUUCUCGCCAAUUCUUUGGUGCCUUUCGUGGGAGACGUCUGUUACAAUAUUGGGAGAUCAAACAUCCGAGCUUGAUGUCUCGUUGGUCCUUGGACCAUCGAGGCUGAUUUGGUCCCGUCUUGGGGCCGGUCAUUAGCAAGGGCCGUGUUUCAUUUUUGAGUUGAACUCCAUCUCUGUCCACUGGGACGGCAUUGUGAUGGUUUUCUUAGUAAUGAUUCAUACAUAC